This 334-nucleotide long non-coding RNA is filed under the name Brassica napus (rape). Its description in RNAcentral is "long non-coding RNA (BNAP_LNC007396)". The record is from RNAcentral. Lineage: Eukaryota; Viridiplantae; Streptophyta; Magnoliopsida; Brassicales; Brassicaceae.
UUUUAUAGAUAAAUAUUGUAGAUUUGGGUUUGUGAUUUAAAAAUUAGGAUAACUAGACUAUUUGUGUAAAUAUGAAUACUCUUUAAGAAAUUUUCAUCAAUAUGUUGUAUUUUAAAAUAAUUCUCUUAAAAACUGUUAUUUUUGGAAAGUUUUCAUUUUUAGAGAAAUAAUGUAGAUUUGGGUUUGUGGUUUAAAAAUUAGGACAACAAGAAUAUUUGUGGAUAGAUGAGUAUUCUUUCGGAGUUUUUCAUCAAUAUGUUGUAUUUUAAAAUAAUUCUCUUAAAAACUGUUAUUUUUGGAAAGUUUUCAUUUUUUAGAGAAAUAUUAUAGAUUU